This 467-nucleotide ribosomal RNA is filed under the name uncultured bacterium. Its description in RNAcentral is "partial 16S ribosomal RNA". It matches the Rfam family "Bacterial small subunit ribosomal RNA", at positions 28 to 507 of the family's 1533-position model. The record is from RNAcentral.
GAUGAACGCUGGCGGCGUGCUUAACACAUGCAAGUCGAACGGAAAGGCCUCUGCUUGCAGGGGUACUCGAGUGGCGAACGGGUGAGUAACACGUGGGUGAUCUGCCCUGCACUUCGGGAUAAGCCUGGGAAACUGGGUCUAAUACCGGAUAGGACAAUGGUUUGGAUGCUGUUGUGGAAAGUUUUUCGGUGUGGGAUGAGCUCGCGGCCUAUCAGCUUGUUGGUGGGGUAAUGGCCUACCAAGGCGUCGACGGGUAGCCGGCCUGAGAUGGUGUACGGCCACAUUGGGACUGAGAUACGGCCCAGACUCCUACGGGAGGCAGCAGUGGGGAAUAUUGCACAAUGGGCGCAAGCCUGAUGCAGCGACGCCGCGUGGGGGAUGACGGCCUUCGGGUUGUAAACUCCUUUCGCUAGGGACGAAGCGUUUUUGUGACGGUACCUGGAGAAGAAGCACCGGCUAACUACGUG